RNAcentral lists this small RNA (70 nucleotides) under Flavobacterium aquatile LMG 4008 = ATCC 11947. RNAcentral's name for it is "Flavobacterium aquatile LMG 4008 Flavo-1 RNA". It matches the Rfam family "Flavo-1 RNA". The record is from Rfam by way of RNAcentral. Lineage: Bacteria; Pseudomonadati; Bacteroidota; Flavobacteriia; Flavobacteriales; Flavobacteriaceae.
AAUUAGCCCUGAUUGAAAUGGAAAUCUCCCGAUUUUUUAUCGGGAAUUGCAAUGGAAAGCAGGAAUACGG